This 386-nucleotide unclassified non-coding RNA is filed under the name Hevea brasiliensis (rubber tree). The record is from RNAcentral. Lineage: Eukaryota; Viridiplantae; Streptophyta; Magnoliopsida; Malpighiales; Euphorbiaceae.
AUAUAGGAGGUUUGUGAUCUUGGGCGUGCUAGUUUGAUGACUAGUUAUCACAAAUAAUACUAAUUCGAAAAACUUUUUAGUGUGUCAAUAUAGAAUUCUUGUAGAUCGACAAAUAUCAAGAUUAAGUGGUAGUGUUUUUUGCCAAUGAAAGUCCUCACUAAAAGUGAAAAUACAGAAGUCAUGCCUUUCUAGAAUCUUGUGCUUGGAAUAAAGGCGCACGCUUAGGUGCAUACAGUGUUAUUAAAGGCGCUCUGAGGCGCCAAGCGAGGUGCUAGGCGAGGCAAGGCGACCCUCUAGCGCCUCGCCUAGAUUGCAUGAGGCAAGCGCAAGGUAACGCCUUUUUCAUGUAAAGUUUACUCCCCUUUUUUUUUUUUUACACAGCAAAA